GAUGAAGAACGUAGCGAAAUGCGAUAAGUAGUGUGAAUUGCAGAAUUCAGUGAAUCAUCGAAUCUUUGAACGCACAUUGCGCCCCUUGGUAUUCCAUGGGGCAUGCCUGUUCGAGCGUCAUUUGUACCUUCAAGCUUUGCUUGGUGUUGGGUGUUUGUCUCGCCUUUGCGUGUAGACUCGCCUUAAAAUAAUUGGCAGCCGGCGUAUUGGCCUUGGAGCGCAGCACAUUUGCGUUUCUUGUCAAUAUACGCUAGCAUCCACUAAGCCCAUCUUUAUCACUUUUGACCUCGGAUCAGGUAGGGAUACCCGCUGAACUUAAGCAUAUCAAUAAGCGGAGGA
RNAcentral lists this unclassified non-coding RNA (339 nucleotides) under soil metagenome. RNAcentral describes it as "partial contains 5.8S ribosomal RNA, internal transcribed spacer 2, and large subunit ribosomal RNA". The stretch from base 1 to 120 matches the Rfam family "5.8S ribosomal RNA", at positions 35 to 154 of the family's 154-position model. The record is from RNAcentral.